Liolophura sinensis is the source of this 534-nucleotide long non-coding RNA. RefSeq lists it as uncharacterized. NCBI's taxonomy places the organism in Eukaryota, Metazoa, Mollusca, Polyplacophora, Chitonida, Chitonidae. The record is from RefSeq and is a predicted model, not a curated record. The transcript has 3 exons.
UGAAUAGUUUAAUUGCUAUCGUGUGAACUUUUUUAUUUACAAACAUUAUUAUAGCGAAUUAAGGUAGAUUAGCUGAGGUAGGUAAAGUUUCGUGUCAUUUCCUUACCUGAGAUCUACAUGUGUGAAAACUACGUCAUAGCAAACCUUUGAUCAGAUUCAUUAUACGUGACUUUGGCAUUAAGAACAUUUCUACUAAAGUAGCUUUUCAAGUAUUACAUUAUGUUUACUUUGCACAGGAUGAGUGGACCCCUUUGCUCUAUGCAGCUUGGAAAAACAAUGUAGAUGUUGUUUGUUUGCUGCUGGAGAAGGGUGCUGAUAUUAAUGUACAGGAUAAGUAUGGGUCGACCCCUUUGCACAUUGCAGCCCGGGAAAACAAUGAAGAUGUUGUUCGUUUCCUGCUGGAGAAGGGUGCUGAUGUCAGUGUACAGAAUAAGAAUGGGUCGACCCCUUUGCACAUUGCAGCCUGGAAAAACAAUGAAGAUGUUGUUCGUUUCUUGCUGGAGAAGGGUGCUGAUGUCAGUGUACAGAAUAAGG